GACGAACGCUGGCGGCGUGCUUAACACAUGCAAGUCGAACGGAAAGGCCCUGCUUUUGUGGGGUGCUCGAGUGGCGAACGGGUGAGUAACACGUGAGUAACCUGCCCUUGACUUUGGGAUAACUUCAGGAAACUGGGGCUAAUACCGGAUAGGAGCUCCUGCUGCAUGGUGGGGGUUGGAAAGUUUCGGCGGUUGGGGAUGGACUCGCGGCUUAUCAGCUUGUUGGUGGGGUAGUGGCUUACCAAGGCUUUGACGGGUAGCCGGCCUGGGAGGGUGACCGGCCACAUUGGGCCUGAGAUACGGCCCAGACUCCUACGGGAGGCAGCAGUGGGGAAUAUUGCACAACGGGCGGAAGCCUGAUGCAGCAACGCCGCGUGCGGGAUGCCGGCCUUCGGGUUGUAAACAGCUUUCGACUGUGCCGAAGCGUGAGUGACGGUAAUGGGUAAAGAAGCACCGGCUAACUACGUG
This 468-nucleotide ribosomal RNA is filed under the name uncultured bacterium. RNAcentral describes it as "partial 16S ribosomal RNA". It matches the Rfam family "Bacterial small subunit ribosomal RNA", at positions 28 to 507 of the family's 1533-position model. The record is from RNAcentral.